ACGCUGGCGGCGUGCUUAACACAUGCAAGUCGAACGAGAGCGUAGAGAAAGCUUGCUUUUUCUACAAUCUAGUGGCAAACGGGUGAGUAACGCGUAAACAACCUGCCCUACGGAUGGGGACAACAGCUGGAAACGGCUGCUAAUACCGAAUACGUUCCGGAAGUCGCAAGACUAUCGGAAGAAAGGAUGGCCUCUAUUUAUAAGCUAUCGCCGGAGGAGGGGUUUGCGUCUGAUUAGCUAGUUGGAGGGGUAACGGCCCACCAAGGCGACGAUCAGUAGCCGGUCUGAGAGGAUGAACGGCCACAUUGGAACUGAGACACGGUCCGGACUCCUACGGGAGGCAGCAGUGGGGAAUCUUCCGCAAUGGGCGAAAGCCUGACGGAGCAACGCCGCGUGAGUGAAGACGGCCUUCGGGUUGUAAAGCUCUGUUAUACGGGACGAAUAAUCUUGUGGUUAAUACCCAUGAGAAGUGACGGUACCGUAAGAGAAAGCCACGGCUAACUACGUGCCAGCAGCCGCGGUAAUACGUAGGUGGCAAGCGUUGUCCGGAAUUAUUGGGCGUAAAGGGCGCGCAGGCGGCUUCUUAAGUCUGUCUUAAAAGUGCGGGGCUUAACCCCGUGAUGGGAUGGAAACUGGGAAGCUCAGAGUAUCGGAGAGGAAAGCGGAAUUCCUAGUGUAGCGGUGAAAUGCGUAGAUAUUAGGAGGAACACCAGUGGCGAAAGCGGCUUUCUGGACGAAAACUGACGCUGAGGCGCGAAAGCCAGGGGAGCGAACGGGAUUAGAUACCCCGGUAGUCCUGGCCGUAAACGAUGGGUACUAGGUGUAGGAGGUAUCGACCCCUCCUGUGCCGGAGUUAACGCAAUAAGUACCCCGCCUGGGGAGUACGGCCGCAAGGCUGAAACUCAAAGGAAUUGACGGGGGCCCGC
Molecule: ribosomal RNA, 926 nt
Filed under: uncultured bacterium
Lineage: Bacteria
Description: bacterial SSU rRNA
Rfam family: Bacterial small subunit ribosomal RNA
Source: RNAcentral